UACGGAGGGUGCAAGCGUUAAUCGGAAUUACUGGGCGUAAAGCGCACGCAGGCGGUCUGUCAAGUCGGAUGUGAAAUCCCCGGGCUCAACCUGGGAACUGCAUUCGAAACUGGCAGGCUGGAGUCUUGUAGAGGGGGGUAGAAUUCCAGGUGUAGCGGUGAAAUGCGUAGAGAUCUGGAGGAAUACCGGUGGCGAAGGCGGCCCCCUGGACAAAGACUGACGCUCAGGUGCGAAAGCGUGGGGAGCAAACAGG
This 253-nucleotide ribosomal RNA is filed under the name uncultured bacterium. RNAcentral's name for it is "partial 16S ribosomal RNA". It matches the Rfam family "Bacterial small subunit ribosomal RNA", at positions 524 to 776 of the family's 1533-position model. The record is from RNAcentral. RNAcentral also lists the same sequence under 1 other name.